GUCGAACGAUGACCGCUUUCGGGCGGGGAUUAGUGGCGAACGGGUGAGUAACACGUGGGCAAUCUGCCCUGCACUCUGGGACAAGCCCUGGAAACGGGGUCUAAUACCGGAUAUGACUGUCCAUCGCAUGGUGGAUGGUGUAAAGCUCCGGCGGUGCAGGAUGAGCCCGCGGCCUAUCAGCUUGUUGGUGAGGUAGUGGCUCACCAAGGCGACGACGGGUAGCCGGCCUGAGAGGGCGACCGGCCACACUGGGACUGAGACACGGCCCAGACUCCUACGGGAGGCAGCAGUGGGGAAUAUUGCACAAUGGGCGAAAGCCUGAUGCAGCGACGCCGCGUGAGGGAUGACGGCCUUCGGGUUGUAAACCUCUUUCAGCAGGGAAGAAGCGAAAGUGACGGUACCUGCAGAAGAAGCGCCGGCUAACUACGUGCCAGCAGCCGCGGUAAUACGUAGGGCGCAAGCGUUGUCCGGAAUUAUUGGGCGUAAAGAGCUCGUAGGCGGCUUGUCACGUCGGUUGUGAAAGCCCGGGGCUUAACCCCGGGUCUGCAGUCGAUACGGGCAGGCUAGAGUUCGGUAGGGGAGAUCGGAAUUCCUGGUGUAGCGGUGAAAUGCGCAGAUAUCAGGAGGAACACCGGUGGCGAAGGCGGAUCUCUGGGCCGAUACUGACGCUGAGGAGCGAAAGCGUGGGGAGCGAACAGGAUUAGAUACCCUGGUAGUC
Molecule: ribosomal RNA, 718 nt
Filed under: Streptomyces violascens
Lineage: Bacteria; Bacillati; Actinomycetota; Actinomycetes; Kitasatosporales; Streptomycetaceae
Description: bacterial SSU rRNA
Rfam family: Bacterial small subunit ribosomal RNA
Source: RNAcentral